GGGUGGAGAAACAAAAAUUCUAACGUGAUAAAUGGUUUUAGUAGGUGCUGCGGUCCCAUCGAUGUACGGUACCUCACCUAACAAUUAUUGGUGAUACGUAUAUCAAUACGUGGAUAACUUUUUAUCCAAAUACUUUUCCAAACAUAUUGCAGCAACUUGGUCUUUAAGUCCUGUGGUUUCACCUAACAGUUAUUGGCACAUUCCUUAGUUAAGUCCGAUCCACUGUUCAUCAGUGAAUACAAAGCCGUC
Molecule: long non-coding RNA, 249 nt
Filed under: Elaeis guineensis (African oil palm)
Lineage: Eukaryota; Viridiplantae; Streptophyta; Magnoliopsida; Arecales; Arecaceae
Description: long non-coding RNA (EGUI_LNC018199)
Source: RNAcentral